ACGGCGAGUGAAGCGGGAUGAGCUCAAAUUUAAAAUCUGGCAGUCUUUGGCUGUCCGAGUUGUAAUCUAGAGAAGUGUUUUCCGCGCUGGACCAUGUACAAGUUUCCUGGAACGGAACGUCAUAGAGGGUGAGAAUCCCGUCCUUGACAUGGACUGCCAGUGCUAUGUGAUACACUCUCAACGAGUCGAGUUGUUUGGGAAUGCAGCUCAAAAUGGGAGGUAAAUUCCUUCUAAAGCUAAAUAUUGGCGAGAGACCGAUAGCGAACAAGUACCGUGAGGGAAAGAUGAAAAGAACUUUGGAAAGAGAGUUAAACAGUACGUGAAAUUGUUAAAAGGGAAACGAUUGAAGUCAGUCGCGUCUGCUUGGACUCAGCCUUGCCUCGGCUUGGUGCAUUUCCUUGUGGACGGGCCAGCGUCAAUGUUGUUUGCUGGAAAAAGGCGGGAGGAAUGUGGCUCCCUCGGGAGUGUUAUAGCCUCUGGUCAAAUGCAGCGAGUGAUAUUGAGUGGUACAGCAUGCUUCGGCGGUGCUUGUGCUGGCAUAAUGGCUUUAAACGACCCGUCUUGAAACACGGACCAAGGAGUCUAACAUGUCUGCGAGUGUUUGGGUGGCAAACCCGAGCGCGCAAUGAAAGUGAUGGCUGGGAACCCCGCAAGGGAGGCACCGGCGCCCCGAGUUGAACUUUUGUGAUGCAUCGGAGGUAGAGCAUAUAUGUUGGGACCCGAAAGAUGGUGAACUAUGCCUGAAUAGGGCGAAGCCAGAGGAAACUCUGGUGGAGGCUCGUAGCGAUUCUGACGUGCAAAUCGAUCGUCAA
RNAcentral lists this ribosomal RNA (812 nucleotides) under Bryoclavula phycophila. RNAcentral describes it as "partial 28S ribosomal RNA". It matches the Rfam family "Eukaryotic large subunit ribosomal RNA", at positions 86 to 908 of the family's 3401-position model. The record is from RNAcentral. Lineage: Eukaryota; Fungi; Basidiomycota; Agaricomycetes; Cantharellales; Hydnaceae.